UGGGGAAUAUUGGACAAUGGGCGAAAGCCUGAUCCAGCCAUGCCGCGUGUGUGAAGAAGGUCUUCGGAUUGUAAAGCACUUUAAGUUGGGAGGAAGGGCAGUAAGCGAAUACCUUGCUGUUUUGACGUUACCGACAGAAUAAGCACCGGCUAACUCUGUGCCAGCAGCCGCGGUAAUACAGAGGGUGCAAGCGUUAAUCGGAAUUACUGGGCGUAAAGCGCGCGUAGGUGGUUCGUUAAGUUGAAUGUGAAAGCCCCGGGCUCAACCUGGGAACUGCAUCCAAAACUGGCGAGCUAGAGUAGGGCAGAGGGUGGUGUAAUUUCCUGUGUAGCGGUGAAAUGCGUAGAUAUAGGAAGGAACACCAGUGGCGAAGGCGACCACCUGGGCUCAUACUGACACUGAGGUGCGAAAGCGUGGGGAGCAAACAGG
RNAcentral lists this ribosomal RNA (429 nucleotides) under Pseudomonadota bacterium. RNAcentral describes it as "Proteobacteria bacterium partial 16S ribosomal RNA". It matches the Rfam family "Bacterial small subunit ribosomal RNA", at positions 355 to 776 of the family's 1533-position model. Lineage: Bacteria; Pseudomonadati; Pseudomonadota. The record is from RNAcentral.